Molecule: ribosomal RNA, 468 nt
Filed under: uncultured bacterium
Lineage: Bacteria
Description: partial 16S ribosomal RNA
Rfam family: Bacterial small subunit ribosomal RNA
Source: RNAcentral
GACGAACGCUGGCGGCGUGCUUAACACAUGCAAGUCGAACGGAAAGGCCCUGCUUCUGUGGGGUGCUCGAGUGGCGAACGGGUGAGUAACACGUGAGUAACCUGCCCUUGACUUUGGGAUAACUUCAGGAAACUGGGGCUAAUACCGGAUAGGAGCUCCUGCUGCACGGUGGGGGUUGGAAAGUUUCGGCGGUUGGGGAUGGACUCGCGGCUUAUCAGCUUGUUGGUGGGGUAGUGGCUUACCAAGGCUUUGACGGGUAGCCGGCCUGGGAGGGUGACCGGCCACAUUGGGACUGAGAUACGGCCCAGACUCCUACGGGAGGCAGCAGUGGGGAGUAUGGCACAAUGGGCGGGAGCCUGAUGCAGCAACGCCGCGUGCGGGAUGACGGCCUUCGGGUUGUAAACCGCUUUCGCCUGUGACGAAGCGUGAGUGACGGUAAUGGGUAAAGAAGCACCGGCUAACUACGUG